RNAcentral lists this unclassified non-coding RNA (291 nucleotides) under plant metagenome. RNAcentral's name for it is "partial contains small subunit ribosomal RNA, internal transcribed spacer 1, and 5.8S ribosomal RNA". The stretch from base 1 to 54 matches the Rfam family "Eukaryotic small subunit ribosomal RNA", at positions 1778 to 1831 of the family's 1831-position model. The record is from RNAcentral.
GGAGGUAAAAGUCGUAACAAGGUUUCCGUAGGUGAACCUGCGGAAGGAUCAUUAAUGGGUUGUCAUGGGGUUCGAUGCUGGCAGCCAAUUUUUGGAUGCAUGUGCUUGCCCUAACAAUCAUCUUCCAAACACCUGUGCACAUUUUUGAGGGAGUCUUGAGUUGGUUGCCGCUCUUGGGUGAUUUUCUCACAUUCCCUUAAAUCAUUAUACGCUAUUAACAAUGUUGAACGUGCUCUGUGCCGCAAGGCUAUUAAUAUAAUACAACUUUUAACAACGGAUCUCUUGGCUCUC